UAAAAUCUAAGCUUUGUUUUUCAAUUCAAAUUCAAAUUCAUCCUUCCAUAACAUUCAAAUAUUCUUAAAUACAAAAAUUUCAUGCUAAUUUUGAAAUAAUUAUACUUUAGUCCCUAUACUCGUAACUAACAAAUUAUACUUUACAAAUUAGUCCCUAUUCAUCUCUAAGCAGUUUGUCAGCGCGUAGAUCUCGAAAAGUUAUUCGAAAUAAAAAAAAUCGUCUCAAUCGGACAACCGAG
This 239-nucleotide long non-coding RNA is filed under the name Gossypium barbadense (sea-island cotton). Its description in RNAcentral is "long non-coding RNA (GBAR_LNC017816)". The record is from RNAcentral. Lineage: Eukaryota; Viridiplantae; Streptophyta; Magnoliopsida; Malvales; Malvaceae.